This 3895-nucleotide long non-coding RNA is filed under the name Equus caballus (horse). RNAcentral describes it as "lncRNA (ENSECAG00000051823.1)". Lineage: Eukaryota; Metazoa; Chordata; Mammalia; Perissodactyla; Equidae. The record is from RNAcentral.
CAAUACCUCGUGCAUCAUAAGUGGUGGCUCCUGAGCCAGGCAGAGCCGCCGUGGAAUGCCAUUUCCCUGGGCGAGAUCCAGAGGGAGGAUUCGGGAGAUGCUGGAGAUUCGUGUGUUGAAGCCCAAUGUGACUGUGUUUGGAGACAUGACCUUUACAGAAGUAAUUAAGAUUAAACGAGGUCAUGGGGUAGGGCUUUGACCCUACAGGGUUAGUGUCCUUAUCAGGAAAGAUACCAGAGAGGUCUCUAUCUCCGCCCUGUGAGGAUACAGUGUGAAGGCACCAUCUGCAAGCCAGGAACAGGACCCUUCCCAAGGACGAAUCUUCUAGCACUUGAUUGUGGACUUCCCAGCCUCCAGAACUGCACUCAGCAAUAAACAGCUAUAUCUGGGAAGCACCAGCAUCUAGAUUCUGCUUAUCAGAAGAGUGAAUUGAAGGGAAACUGGAUGGCAUAGAAAAGUCAGGCGGGAGCAUUUUCCAUGGCAACUCUCUGGGUGACUCUAAAUGCUUCUUCUUUAUGAUUCUGAGUAGCCCCCUUUGCCUGUGUCAGCACCCUGUGGAGAACACUCUGGUAAAACUGAGUUCUGAUUCAUCUUUUGAGAAACUCGAGAAAUGAGAGAAUUCAACCAAAGGCAAACUUUUUAAAUUGUCUAAAGCAGAGUAGACCUUGUAAAUUUAUUCAUCUGAGCAUGAUGAUGGUCGGGCAUGCAUAUUUGAGAGAAGCAGCUUGAUAAAAGCGGUAUGACGGAAGGAGAAGAAUUUGGAGUUCCCAAGGCAAUCCUGGAGGGAAGAGGUGAGAGGGUGAGGGAGGGGAGGAAGAAGCAGGAGGAGGCAGUCAAGGAGGCAGAAGUCUCUACGGUUAUGUUACUCUUGCCUCUGAACCACACCCCUCCAUCUUCAGAAAAGCCUGUCAACUCAGGUGCUUUUUAAAAAAGCCAAAUAGACUCCAGGGCCCCAUGUGGUCCAGUCUCAAGCUGGUCUCGUGGACAAAGUAAUGCAGUCCACAAGCUGAAAUUAAUAGCUAAUUCCAAACUUUACUUGAACGUCUGUAAUAACGUAAAAGGAAGUGUAGUAAAUAAACCACAUGAGACGGAGUAUAAAGCAGGGCUGAGAGCCUGGGGUCUGGGCCAGACAGCUUGAGUUUGAGUUCUGGUUCUGCCCCUCAUAUGCUGUGAGAUCUUCGGUGAGUCACUAAACUUCUCUAUGCUUUAGUUCCCCCAUCUGUAAAAGGAAGAUGAUUAUAGUAUCUACUUAUUAGGGUGGUGAUGAGAAUUAAAUGAGUUACUAUUUGUCAGGACCUCAACACAGCACCUGACACAUGGGAUGAGCUACAUAAAUAUUCGUUAAAUAAAUAACUGAAUCUUAGGAUCUGCUUUCUCUAACUCUCAACACGAAAGGGUGUUUCUAGUUUUCCUCUCUCUGCCUUUUGUUUUCAUGACUUUUCCACUCUUUUCUUUUACUCUUUCUCUUUAAGAAAAGUCUGCAUUUUCUAAUGCAAUCCCCAACCUUUGAUUCUCCAUCUCCCCCACCCUGGGAGCACCCAGAUCUCCACACCAGGGGCCAAGAGAGGGCUUGGAGAGGAGAAGACAGGAAAAUGCAGAGGAGACCACAUCAGAAUUUGCCCUGCUAACCCAGGAUGGGGGAGUAGGAGAAGAGCCAUGAAUUUGCAUUUUUGGAUUAUACUUUUCUGUUAUAUUUGAUGUGAAUGACCUUCGAGGGAGAAUGCAAGGAAGCCACUAAGUUUCAUAUCAGGUGGCAGGUCUAAGUCAGCAUGAGAAAGCGUGGAAAGUGUAGGUGACCACAAGAACCCAAGGUCACUUGAGAAUUCACAGAAUCCUUGGCAACUUUUGACUUCCACAGGCUCUGGAAAUGUAGGAAGUGUGAUCCAAUUUCUUUAACAUCUUGAGAGGUGGGAAAUAUGAAGUACUAUUCAGAAUAUGGAAAAAUGAAGAAAUGGGUUUCUUUUGAAGGGAGAUAAACAUUUAUCAGAACCCUUAUAACAAGUGGGAGAGGAUUCGUGGUGUUCAAGAACUUAAUCUAUUGUACAGGAGGAAGGACAUUUAUUAGGUUAAAUAAUAAGUACACAAAAUGUAUUUGGUAUACAUACGAUGGUAUACCUACAUACAAUCAUUUUUACACACAAAGAACCAUAUGCUUAUAUAUGUGGAAAUGAAUACAUUCAAUAAGUGGAUUAGAAGAGUAUGUUUAGCUAAAAAGACAUAUGAGUAAUAUAGUGAAAACGUAUGAUUCUACAAUCUGAAAACUCACAAAAUGAAGUAAAUUAAGGAUGCGGCUGGAGACUGGUAUCAGUUAAGGAUGGAUGGCCCCAGCUUCUCUCUUGGUUACCCUGGUAAAUAGACUUCUCUGCUCAUGCUAUCGAUAUUAUAAUGAGCAAAACCACAUGCAAAUAAAGUAGAUGGAAAGGGUGGGAGAAGACAAGAGGGUGAAUGACUUGCCCAAGACAUAGAGUAGUAAGCUUGGAGUUCAUAUAACUAUUGCUUCUUCCUCUGGCCUGAUCAAAACCAAGGUAAAGAAACCAAGCGUUGGUGUCUCCCACAUUGCCUGCCCCUCUUCUUUGUUACCACAGCUAGGUUGACGUGUCUAUAGACCAAAGGGUGGCAGAACAUCUUCUCCUGGUGGGUUUGAGGGGUAGGUGGGAAUGCCUGCAAAUGUGAGCCUUGAUUGCCUUCCCUCACCCUGGACAAGACUACCCAGGAUGGCAAAGUGGACCCAACUUACAACUCAUAUGGAUUUCUGUGGAUAGGAAAAAAAUACUGUGAACAAGCAUAGAGGAUAGAAUUUUACAACUGGCAGUCAUUCUCCCAGCUUCCCAUUGACUAUGCUCCCUGGGGAAGGGGAGAAUCCUUCCUCUGCCUGCGUGUGCAAACUCAGGUUGGUCCUAUUAGCUCGCUAGUCACUCACAGAUAAUAAAACAUUCUUUGGUCAAUUUUAGUCAUAAACACGGCAUCAAUUUUAGUAAUUUAAAAAUGUUCAGUCUCACUGAGGGGAAUGAUUACUCUCAUUUUUUUCAGGUAAGAAAAUUAAAGUUUAGAGAGAAUAAUUGAUUUAAUAAAGUUCCCAGAGGUAGAAAGUGGGGAAGCCAGGAUUCAAGCCCACGGCCCACGUCAGUGUCGCUCUGCAGCUCACACUUUCUCCUCUCCUUCCAAUCUGUUUAUCUACCCUUGAGUGACUGAUGAGUGAAGGACUGAAAAUGGUUGCAUCCCAGUUUCUUAGCAGGUCCUACGUAGGUGAUGUUCUUAGAGGCAGAACUCUGAGAUCACAUGAAAAGUACCACUUACCAUUCUGUCCCUCUAGGAAGAGAGGGGAAUUAUUUACAGCAGGGUUUCUUAACCUGCAGUCCAUGAAUGAUCUGGUGGAAAGAUAAAUAUUUUUCUUUAGAUCAUUUUUUGUGUCACUUUGUAAAUUAUCUUUGUGAAAAUAAUAUGUUUUUUCUAAAUGUAAAAAUAUUUUUGAUGAGUGGUUUCACUGCAAACAUGUGUAGGAUGGAAAGGAUGUUACUGUACAUGGUGGGUAAUAGACACUCUAGUGAUUACUCCGACUUCCUGUUGGCAAGAGGACUGUCCCACUGAGAGAAAUGGAUGACAAUCCCCCUACCUUUGUGAAUUUGCCCUCCUGUCUUUCUUACCUCGGGCCUAGCUUAAGUGGGAAGAUAUCAAUAAAAAGAAAUGAUGUCUAAAUUUACACGUAUCCUUUGUUUUGAUUUUUAUCAAUGAUCCUGAUCAGGACCAACCCCCGUGACCCACUCCCCCACAAAAGCUGCAGUGCUUAUUGUAUGGCAAAAUUGUGUCUGUCUAUCCCGAAAAUACAUUAGACAAGGCAGACAUUUUUCCUGAGAAGGCUUGAUUUUAAAAGGCUGGAACUGUAUUUAAACUUCUG